AGCGAACGCUGGCGGCAGGCCUAACACAUGCAAGUCGAACGAACUCUUCGGAGUUAGUGGCGGACGGGUGAGUACCACGUGGGAACGUGCCUUUUGGUUCGGAAUAACUCAGGGAAACUUGUGCUAAUACCGCAUGUGCCCUUCGGGGGAAAGAUUUAUCGCCAUUGGAGCGGCCCGCGUCUGAUUAGCUAGUUGGUGAGGUAACGGCUCACCAAGGCGACGAUCAGUAGCUGGUCUGAGAGGAUGACCAGCCACACUGGGACUGAGACACGGCCCAGACUCCUACGGGGGGGAGCAGUGGGGAGUCUUGCGCAAUGAGCGAAAGCCUGACGCAGCCAUGCCGCGUGAAUGAUGAAGGUCUUAGGAUUGUAAAAUUCUUUGAGCGGGGACGAUAAUGACGGUACCCGGAGAAGAAGCCCCGGCUAACUUCGUG
Molecule: ribosomal RNA, 433 nt
Filed under: uncultured bacterium
Lineage: Bacteria
Description: partial 16S ribosomal RNA
Rfam family: Bacterial small subunit ribosomal RNA
Source: RNAcentral